RNAcentral lists this ribosomal RNA (773 nucleotides) under uncultured bacterium. RNAcentral's name for it is "bacterial SSU rRNA". It matches the Rfam family "Bacterial small subunit ribosomal RNA", at positions 8 to 798 of the family's 1533-position model. The record is from RNAcentral.
AGAGUUUGAUCCUGGCUCAGGACGAACGCUGGCGGCGUGCUUAACACAUGCAAGUCGAACGGAAAGGCCCUUCGGGGUACUCGAGUGGCGAACGGGUGAGUAACACGUGGGUGAUCUGCCCUGCACUUUGGGAUAAGCCUGGGAAACUGGGUCUAAUACCGAAUAUGACCACGCGCUUCAUGGUGUGUGGUGGAAAGCUUUUGCGGUGUGGGAUGGGCCCGCGGCCUAUCAGCUUGUUGGUGGGGUAAUGGCCUACCAAGGCGACGACGGGUAGCCGGCCUGAGAGGGUGACCGGCCACACUGGGACUGAGAUACGGCCCAGACUCCUACGGGAGGCAGCAGUGGGGAAUAUUGCACAACGGGCGCAAGCCUGAUGCAGCGACGCCGCGUGAGGGAUGACGGCCUUCGGGUUGUAAACCUCUUUCAAUAGGGACGAAGCGCAAGUGACGGUACCUAUAGAAGAAGGACCGGCCAACUACGUGCCAGCAGCCGCGGUAAUACGUAGGGUCCGAGCGUUGUCCGGAAUUACUGGGCGUAAAGAGCUCGUAGGUGGUUUGUCGCGUUGUUCGUGAAAACUCACAGCUUAACUGUGGGCGUGCGGGCGAUACGGGCAGACUAGAGUACUGCAGGGGAGACUGGAAUUCCUGGUGUAGCGGUGGAAUGCGCAGAUAUCAGGAGGAACACCGGUGGCGAAGGCGGGUCUCUGGGCAGUAACUGACGCUGAGGAGCGAAAGCGUGGGGAGCGAACAGGAUUAGAUACCCUGGUAGUCCAA